Long non-coding RNA from Capsicum annuum, 544 nucleotides. RefSeq lists it as uncharacterized. NCBI's taxonomy places the organism in Eukaryota, Viridiplantae, Streptophyta, Magnoliopsida, Solanales, Solanaceae. The transcript is spliced from 2 exons. The record is from RefSeq and is a predicted model, not a curated record.
UACACACCCUCAAAAUUCAUAUAAAUACUCCCAAGGCAUUGAGCUUGUAAUUCAAGUUUCAAAAAAAAAAAAAAAAAACUCUCAAAAUUUUUAGUACGUAAUAAUUCUUAUCAAUAUGGCAGUAGUACUCUCCAAUAUCUCCAUAAGGUCCAUAGUGAUUACACUUAUGAUCUAUGCUAUUUUCUUGUCUCCCUUGCUACUCUCGUCCUGCGAUGCAUCUCGAGCACUCAAGGCGAACAAGUUUCCCGUUGCAUGUAUUCAGAACUGUGUGGGGUGUUGUGAUCCACCACCACCGGGUACCUGCUGCACCCGCUGUGGUUGUUGAAGUUUGAUCUUCUUUACAUAUCAGAAUUAUAGAACAAUAAGUUUGAUCUGCAAUUGGUGUGUCUUUGAGUCAUAUAUAUACGUACAUGUUAUACAAUAAAGAAGGAACUUAUUGGUUUCUUUAGGUUUAUUAUAGGAGUAUUAUGUGUACCUUGUGGGAAACAAUCUUUGUAACGUACUGAUAAAAAAAAACUUCUGAGAAGGAAAACCUAUUUAGUCU